AGUCGAGGGGCAGCGGGAUUGAAGCUUGCUUCAAUUGCCGGCGACCGGCGCACGGGUGAGUAACGUGUAUCCAACCUUCCGUACACUCAGGGAUAGCCUUUCGAAAGAAAGAUUAAUACCUGAUGGUAUCUUAAGCACACAUGUAAUUAAGAUUAAAGAUUUAUCGGUGUACGAUGGGGAUGCGUCCCAUUAGGUAGUAGGCGGGGUAACGGCCCACCUAGCCAACGAUGGAUAGGGGUUCUGAGAGGAAGGUCCCCCACAUUGGAACUGAGACACGGUCCAAACUCCUACGGGAGGCAGCAGUGAGGAAUAUUGGUCAAUGGACGAGAGUCUGAACCAGCCAAGUAGCGUGAAGGAUGAAGGUCCUACGGAUUGUAAACUUCUUUUAUAAGGGAAUAAACCCUCCCACGUGUGGGAGCUUGUAUGUACCUUAUGAAUAAGCAUCGGCUAACUCCGUGCCAGCAGCCGCGGUAAUACGGAGGAUGCGAGCGUUAUCCGGAUUUAUUGGGUUUAAAGGGAGCGCAGACGGGUCGUUAAGUCAGCUGUGAAAGUUUGGGGCUCAACCUUAAAAUUGCAGUUGAUACUGGCGUCCUUGAGUGCGGUUGAGGUGUGCGGAAUUCGUGGUGUAGCGGUGAAAUGCUUAGAUAUCACGAAGAACUCCGAUUGCGAAGGCAGCACACUAAUUCGUAACUGACGUUCAUGCUCGAAAGUGU
Molecule: ribosomal RNA, 713 nt
Filed under: uncultured bacterium
Lineage: Bacteria
Description: bacterial SSU rRNA
Rfam family: Bacterial small subunit ribosomal RNA
Source: RNAcentral